This 27812-nucleotide long non-coding RNA is filed under the name Populus trichocarpa (black cottonwood). Its description in RNAcentral is "long non-coding RNA (PTRI_LNC003868)". Lineage: Eukaryota; Viridiplantae; Streptophyta; Magnoliopsida; Malpighiales; Salicaceae. The record is from RNAcentral.
UGGAAUAAAAGACGCACAAUGGAACAUGGAAGCCUUCUCUAAAAUGAGCAAACUAAGAUUGCUCAAAAUCAACAACGUGCAGCUUUCUGAAGGACCUGAAGAUCUUUCCAAUAAGUUACGAUUUCUUGAAUGGUAUUCUUACCCUUCAAAAUCAUUGCCAGCUGGUUUACAAGUGGAUGAGCUAGUUGAACUUCACAUGGCUAACAGUAAUCUUGAUCAAUUAUGGUAUGGGUGUAAGGUGAGAUCAACUAAUUUAAGGGCCUUUGUAUUUCGUUUUAUCAUUUUCCUAUAUGUGUAUGAUAGUAGCAUCCGCAUUUUUUCUCCCUUGCCUGAUUGCAGAGUGCACUUAAUUUGAAAAUCAUCAAUCUCAGCUACUCACUAAACUUGUCCAGGACUCCAGAUCUUACUGGAAUUCCAAAUCUUGAGAGUCUGAUUCUUGAAGGUUGUACAAGUUUGUCUGAGGUCCAUCCAUCACUUGGAAGUCACAAGAAUCUUCAAUAUGUGAAUCUUGUGAAUUGCAAAAGUAUUAGGAUUCUCCCAAGCAACCUUGAAAUGGAAUCGCUUAAAGUUUUCACUCUUGAUGGCUGCUUAAAACUUGAGAAGUUUCCAGAUGUAGUAAGAAACAUGAACUGUUUGAUGGUGCUUCGUUUGGACGAGACUGGUAUUACAAAACUAUCUUCAUCGAUUCGUCAUUUGAUUGGCUUAGGUCUAUUGAGCAUGAACAGCUGCAAGAACCUUAAAAGCAUUCCGAGUAGCAUAAGUUGUUUGAAAUCUCUUAAAAAACUCGAUCUGUCUGGCUGCUCUGAACUUAAAAAUAUACCAAAGAAUUUGGGGAAAGUUGAAAGUUUGGAGGAGUUCGAUGUAAGUGGAACUUCAAUAAGACAACCGCCAGCAUCUAUUUUUCUUUUAAAGAGUCUUAAAGUAUUAUCUUUUGAUGGAUGCAAAAGAAUAGCUGUGAAUCCCACGGAUCACAGGUUGCCUUCUUUGUCGGGUUUGUGUUCUUUAGAAGUACUGGAUUUAUGCGCUUGCAAUCUAAGAGAAGGGGCACUUCCUGAAGAUAUUGGCUUCUUAUCUUCUUUGAGGUCUUUAGAUCUGAGCCAGAAUAACUUUGUUAGCCUGCCUCAAAGCAUAAAUCAGCUUUUUGAACUGGAAAGGCUUGUCUUGGAGGAUUGCUCGAUGCUUGAAUCAUUGCCUGAGGUUCCAUCAAAAGUUCAAACAGUAAAUUUGAAUGGUUGUAUAAGCCUAAAAGAAAUUCCAGAUCCGAUAAAGCUAAGCAGUUCCAAAAUCUCAGAGUUCCUCUGUCUUAACUGCUGGGAAUUGUACGAGCAUAAUGGCCAAGACAGCAUGGGGUUGACCAUGCUUGAAAGAUACCUCAAGGUCUUCUCUUAAUCAUACCCCAACCUUUUUGUAUCGCUCUCCCUCUCCCGCUAUCUAUCUAACAUUUUGGUUUUUCAUGGUACAGGGUUUGUCUAAUCCAAGACCUGGAUUUGGUAUCGUUGUUCCUGGAAAUGAAAUUCCAGGCUGGUUUAACCAUCGAAGUAAGGGAUCUUCAAUUAGUGUGCAAGUGCCUAGUUGGAGCAUGGGGUUUGUUGCGUGUGUUGCAUUCAGUGCAAAUGGAGAAAGUCCUUCUCUCUUUUGUCAUUUCAAAACCAAUGGAAGAGAGAAUUAUCCUUCGCCGAUGUGUAUUAGUUGUAACUCUAUCCAAGUUCUGUCAGAUCAUAUUUGGCUAUUCUAUCUAUCUUUUGAUUACCUUAUAGAGCUUAAAGAAUGGCAGCAUGGAUCCUUUAGCAACAUUGAGUUGUCAUUUCAUUCUUCCCAGCCAAGAGUAAAGGUGAAGAAUUGUGGUGUCUGUUUGUUAUCUUCUCUAUAUAUUACAUCACAACCAUCUUCUGCCCAUUUUAUUGUUACAAGCAAAGAAACAGCUUCUUCAUAUAAAGCUUCUUUAACUCUCUCUUCAUCGUACCAUCAUUGGAUGGCCAGUGUUUUCCCUGACAUCAGAGUCGCAGACACUAGUAAUGCUAUCACCUAUUUAAAGUCAGAUCUAGCUCGGAGAGUCAUUAUCUCAUUGAACGUAAAGGCAAUUAGAUCAAGACUUUUUAAGGCCAUUGAAGAAUCAGGGCUGUCAAUUGUUAUAUUUUCAAGAGAUUGUGCUUCUUUACCUUGGUGCUUUGACGAACUUGUCAAGAUUGUCGGAUUCAUGGAUGAGAUGAGAUCGGACACUGUGUUUCCAGUUUCGUAUGAUGUCGAACAAUCAAAGAUAGAUGAUAAAAAAGAGAGUUACACAAUUGUCUUUGAUAAGAUUGGAAAAAAUCUCAGGGAAAACAAGGAGAAGGUACAAAGAUGGAUGGAUAUUCUCAGUGAAGUUGAGAUUUCAUCUGAAUUGAGUUCAUCGGAAAGGUAAUAAUUACUUCUUUUUUGUGUGUGUAGCUCGACUUAUCAACCACUUCAAGUAAAUGAAACUUGGAAUGCUGAAAUAUCAAAUUUCAGAACUUAAUGUUAACAAAUCUGCACCGUGCAAGGUUCAGUACACAAUGGGGUUACAAGUAUUUUUUUCAAGGUAGAUUAUGAAUUUAAGAAAAAUUAAUAUUAAACUUAGUUGAGUUUAUGGUCUGGAUUAACCCGACAUGUUUUACUAUGGACGAUAUUGUUUACUUUAAUUUUUUUUUAGGUUUGUUAUAAAUUCAAAGGGAGAAAAAUAUUGAACCGGUUGAGUGUAUUAUCCAGGUCACAAGUUUGUUUUUAAAGGUUGAGUAUAAAUUUUUUUAAAAAAAUUUCAACCUAGUUGAGGAUUUUUUAUAAAGAUUGAGUUUUUUUAUGGUGUUGUGUAUUUUUAAUUUUUUAAUUUGUUUUUUUUAAGUUUAAUAUAAAUUUAAGAGAAAACAAUUAUUGAACCUCGUUGAAUUCAUGGUUCGAAUCACAUAUUUAAUUUUUUUAAGGUUUAAGGAAAAAAAUAUUGAAGCCGAUUGAGUUCAUGAACUGAGUUACGGGUUUAACGAGUUAAGCCACAAUAACCAGAUAAUUUUUUUUUCUAAUGUUGCUUUUUUUUUUAUUGAUAUCUUUUUAUAUAUAUCUUAUUUUAGAUAAUUUUCAAUUUAUGUUUCAAUUAAUAUCACUCAUAUGUGAUUUGUUUUGUUUAUUUAACUUUUUUUUUUAAUAUAAAUUGUUUUUUGAUGGUGUUGUAUGUAUUUGUUUUUAAAUGUUGAAAAUAAAUUUAAGAGAAAACAAUAUAGAGUCUGGUUAAGUUCAUGGUCUGGGUCACAUGUUUAAUUUCUUUUUUGUUAAAGGUUGAAUACAAAUUUAAAAGGAAAACAAUAUUGAACCCGGUUGAGUUUAUGCUCCGGGUCACGGAUUUAACGAGUUAAGCCACAACAACAAAACAAUGUUUUUUUUUUCUGAUAUUGCUUUUUUUUACUGAUAUUUUUUUAUAUAUCUUUUUUAAAAUAUUUUUUAAAUUUAUGUUUCAAUUAAUAUUCCUCAUCUGGUCUGUAAAAGAGCGUCAUCUUAUUUUUUUCACAAACAUCUUGCAACAAAAAAAAAAAAGGUUAGUGGGCGUGGGCCCUAACAAAAUGCGGCAAUUGGGUUGGCUUAACUUAGUAGUCCCAACAACGCCUGACCUUUGCUUUUUUUUUUCUUUUAUAUGUUUUUUUUUUUAAAUUAUAUUUAGAUUAACAUCCCUUCUCUUUUUUUUAUGUUGUUUAGAGAUCCUCUUUGAAAUGAUGGUUAAUUUUUAGUUAUGCAUUUAAUUUUUGAGAAAGUUUUUCUAAUUCAUUUAUAUAUUUUUUAAUUUUUUGUACAGAUGAAAUUUAUUCUUGAAAAUAAAAAUUUUUAUUUUCAAAUAAUAUUUCUAAUAUGUGCAGCCUUGCAUAUUAUUUUUUUUCAUUUUAUUUUAUUCAAUUAAUUUGAUGUGUAUGUCUACUUUUAUUAUCGUUUGAUUGAAUAAAAAACUUGUUUUAAUUAAUAAAUUUAGUAAAUACAAUCACGUAAAUAUCUCGUCUUUCGAAAUUAAAUAUCUUAAUCUACACUAGUUUCUCGAUUUUUCCACUUUUAUGUUUAGUUGUAGUUUAUAGUUGUUGUUUUUUACUUAUUAACACACAUAAUUCUUGAUUUAUUUGAUUAUAUUUAUGCAUAUUUUUUUUUCACUUAGAAUUUUUUAAAUACAAAAACAUGUUGAAAAAAUCUAUCUAUAAAUUUUUUAUUAAAUUUUUUUUUAACACCCAACAAAACAUGUAACAUCGAUUCCAUGUACAGUUUGACUAUAUCUGAGCUGCAGCAGCUGCUCGAGCAGCAGGAGCAGGUGCUCGAGCAGGAGGAGCAGAACCUGCAGCAGGAGGAGCAGCAGUUGCAGCAGUUGCUCGAUCAGCAGGUGCUCCAGCAAUGGCGACGGCAGGUGCUCCAGCCGGAGAGGCGACAGCUGCUCCAGCCGGAGAGGCGGCAGCUGCAGCAGGAGCAGCGGCUGCGGCGGCGGCUGCGGCAGCUCCGUCUGCGGCGGCAGCUCCGGCAGCUCCGGCUGCUCCAGCAGCGGCGGCAGCUCACCGGGUUUUGGUUAGUAAUUAACUUGCUUUAGCUUGAAGUUCUUCGGCAGUUUUUGCUCAUGGUUUUGGUUUGGGGUAAUUAGAUUCACAUUUUACUACCAGUAUAUUAAAAUAAUAUAUAAAAAAACUUAAUUUAAAAUAAAAAAAAUAAACUUAAUUUUUUAAAAAAUAUAUUUUUAAAAUAUAAAAACAAACAAACAAUCUACCCGACAACCUAUUAGAUCAAAUCAUGAGGAAAGGCGGCAUCUUUAAUUUGUUACUUUUACACAAAAGUGUUUGUUUGUUUCUUGGAUUCAAUUUGCCAAAUUCUCAGUUAUUCUUGAAUUAACAUAAAUCUUGCAACUCAAGUUUUGGAUUUUAUAUAUUUCCUUUUAUUUUUUAGUUAAAUAUAUUUUUAUUUUUUUUACUAAACAAACACAACAUACUGUAAAUAUAAAUUCAAAAUAUCUUUACUAUAAUAAAAAAAAUUAAUUUAGUAACAAUUUGUUUUAUAAGCCUGACAAAUUGUCGCUUUUAAAUAGAAUAUGAAUUUUGGAAGGUAUUUCUUUAGUAAUUAAUAAACUUCUAUACUUUUCUCUUAGAUGCACCAACAAUUUUUAUUGUUAAUAGCUUUAUAUUUACAACUAUAUAAACAUAUAAAUAUUAAUAUAUAUAAUCACUUACUCCAAAAUUGGACUUGCUUCGUUUGUAAUUGGCGAAAUAUCAACCCAUGAAGAUUUUAUGGGAAAACCCAGUUUUAUUUUUUUGAGAAAUAGUGGUAGUACUAAUGGGAAUCGGUGUGGUGGAUUUUGUCCAAGAGGGUAUGUAUGUGUAGCUGAGGCAUUGUCAUCAACAGAUGUUGAAGAUAAUGUGUCUGGUGCCGAUGAAGUGCAAGAAUUGCAGCCAGAAAUGAGGAAAGAAGAGGAGCACUUUAGGAGGAGGAGGCUACGUGCUAACCCUGGAAUAGGGUCAAGGAAGCAUAGGGUCUUAAGGAGAAGGCAAGUGAAGAUUGAGGCGGAAGCAUGGGAGCUGGCAACGAAAGAAUAUAAGGAGCUUUUGAAGGAUAUGUGUGAGCAUAACUUGGCUCCUAAUUUGCCAUAUAUGAAGAGUUUGUUCCUUGGUUGGUUUGAGCCUUUUACAGAUGCAAUUGAGCAGGAGGUAAGUAAUUUUUAAUGUUUUAUUUGCUUAUUUUUACUUGCGGUUUGAUUUGUAGACAGAGGAUAAUGAGUGCCCCUAUAAAAAUAUUGAAAGAUAAGAGAAAACAUAAAGUUUCUUAAAUUUACUUUUAGACAACCUUCAUCUGAGGUGAUGAACUAGGAAGAAAGAUGAAGGUUACUAUGUACAAUUAUGAGAUAAAAAUCAGCUAUGGAGCUAGUAGUGCCUGGAAAAUUAGAUUUUGAAGUUACGUUCCGUAAAGUUUUGUCGAAUGUUGAAUGGGGUUUUUCUGGAUUUCUUUUUUAUAUAUCUAUAGUUUUUACUUUCAGUCCAAGUUCUUCUGUUGUUCAUGGUUCCAGGGAAGACACUAAAUGUAGGUACGAAAAACAAUGUAGUGUAAGAUCCUUUAGAUUUUUUACAAUUUUUUCAUUAUGUGUUAAACUUUUCAUAUCACGGGCCUUAUUAGGCUGAAUAUUCUAUUACGCCUUUCUUUAUUGAGCUACAAUUUCUUCAAAGCAUGGGCAUGGUGGACUCAUAAGAGUGACAUUCAACUUUCCUUUGUCAGAGCUCAUCUCAUGUUUCGACAUUGCUUCAUCUAGGAACUCUUCUUCUCCUUGCACUUGUUGUCUCACUAUAGUACCUCGUUGGAUCCUCUGGGUACUCCUGCAUAAUCUCCGUAUGCCCUCGUGCAAUUUAUGUUCUCCAGAUUUAUCUAUACUCCUUGCUUAUGUUUGACAGUAGCUCAUCCUGUCACAACACCUGUCCAAGUCAAAAUAAGGUGUCAAUCUUUAUCCCCUUGCUAUAUUUCUCUUUCAUUAUUAGGAUCUUCAUCAAUUCUCCCCUUGAGAAAUCACAGUCACCGAAUCUAAUUUCUUUGGAGAAAUCACCACUCCAUCAGAUCCUUGAACAUACUGAACCCAACUAUUCCCUUAUGCCGUCAUCUUGCUAGUCUCCAACCGUUUCAUUACAAACUGUUAUAUAUACGAAAAUAGUACCGUAUGGAUAAUCCUUCCACUAAGCAAGUUCCCAGGAAAGAUUGGAGGGGUCACACCGGUCCCGCUUAAAACCCAAUCUCCUAAACAGAACUUCUAAGGCCAUAUCUAUCCAUCGUACUGUCUUUCCGUAUAUACAACCAUUUGCUAGCUUUAUUGCAGCUUUCUUUUACAAGUGAUCUGGAAUAUCUUGGUUCUAUACUUGAUUUCUCAACAUCUGACGAGACUACCAGUGCUUGGAUUCGUCAAGAUUGGUCUUCGUUAAUUUCCACUCUCCACCUCAAAUCAUCCACUUGAUCAGGUGUCCAAAGUGUUCCAAUUUUGCCUUCCUUCAAGGUAACUAAAAAAUCUCCCCGCUUAGCAGUUCAGCACAUGUAAUUGGAUAAACAUGUGAACCUUCUUCUUCUUCAUCUCCAUCGACCACCAUAAUGACCUUCAGAUGCCUCCUAAUCGGGCAAUCUCUCUUAAAAAUUCACCACCACCACUUUUGGUCUCAAUCUCAACGAUCAGACUGUACCAUUGCAUCUAAAACGAUCAAAUUAGCUAGAAACAAGUCUGAAAUCAUCGAAAUCGCAUUUCAGACGGCUAAAAUUUGAUCAAAACAAUUCUGGUCUGAUAAACGGCCCAGAUUCAAUCUCAGAUCCGAUUGCACAUAGAAUCCGCUACACAAGAUCCUAUACCUCGGCUCACGGCUCGACUCCUCUCGGCUCAGCUCUCGGCUGAUGAUGUGGCAGGUGGGUCCCAAUGUGCUGACGUGUUAGCUGACUGGGCGCUGACAUGGCAUGCCAACUGUGCAUGCUGACGUCAUGCUUAUGUCAUCCUUAUCCAGGUCAGUCCCAUGGGUCAAGUCAACUAGUAUUAGGGUUGGGUCAGCCCAUCCGGGCGAAGAAGACGAGUGGCACGCGUGGGGGGCGUCUGCACGCGUGGACAACCACCUCGUCGGCGCGUGUGGCCAUGUCUGACAUCCGAUUUCGAUGUCGUUUUCACCAGUGUGAUCGUCUCUUCCUCUUCUACACAGUGGUAUGGUCAAAACACCAUUUUGACAACUUUCAUUUUUGGGCAAAAAUCAAACACCACUUUAAACCAUGUGCUCUGAUACCAAUUGUUAGGAAUUCUGACUCCUAUGCGCGGACCGGUGAUGUUCUGAUAGUUACCCAUUGUAGGCUUAGCACACUGAGACACAAUAUUUAACGUGGUUCGGCAAAUCGCCUACAUCCACGGGAGAGGUCCAUAUUAUUAGAGAUAGAGAAAGGAUACAUACAAAUACAUGGAGGAGGAGGAUCACUUCACUCAACUCAACUCACAUCUCUCAUUGCUGCACUUGCAGCUACUGUGUAGAAGAGGCUCUGCCUCUCCAUUUCUGUAAUCUCCAUUGGAAGGGAAACUAAUUGUCUUGCAGGUGUUUAUUGAAAACAUGUUGAAUGUGAGAUAUGAGAUGGAAGGGUUUGUCUAGGAUUCUCAAUAAAACAGAGAACAUUGUCUUUAAACAUUAAAGAGCAUUUGCUAAUCACAACCAUGUCUAAUACGGUAAAAUUAACAUUAUUGCCACAGGCAGGAGAAUUUAGGGAUUGCUAUGGAAUUCUUUAUUAUAAUGUUUUUGAUGUUAAAGGGAGAGGUAUACUUCAUGGAAAAGAAUGAUUGGCAGUUAGAGAUAAAAUAUAGAGAAAGAAAAUGUGUUAGGUUUUCUACAAGGAUGUUGUGGUGGAUUAUUUUAGCGCAAGAAAAGACAAGAGUAUAUGUUUGGCAAGUUAGUUAGGAUAUGUUUUUCAUGGACUUUGGUUAAGUUUUUCAUGAAUAGGUGAUCACAAUCCUCAUUGGAAAAACUACACAUGCUUUGGAAUAUGAAGAGGCCUCUAUAGCAGCUUCUGUCAUUCAACCUAUUGCCUUUAAAUCUGAUAAGCUCCCUAGCCCUUUUGGUUGUAAAUUGCCCAUUAGGACUGAGAUUCCUGGACACACUUUCUAUCUACAAAAAGAAAAGAUUUAAACCAGUGAUUGCACUCUGAAUAUCUUUAUUUGAUCAGAUCUAGCAUCAGACGAAAAUCAUUUCAUGAAUUGGUCUUGGGGAAAGAGCACUUUGUUUUCUAGCAAGUUUAUAGUGGGUCUUGGCUCUUUCACUCAAUCAUCAUGCAAAUUGCAGGAGGCACAUUAGCAUAGUCCUCACUAAAAUUAAUUUUAGAUCCUUGUAUACAAAUUUGGAAGAUGCAAAUUCUUCAUACAUGUUCCUUACAUAUGCUACUUUAAUCUGGAAUUUAAUGAGUUUAUGGUUGGAUUCUGGUUCCCAUGUAGUUGUAGCAAGUCUUAACACCACUAUUGCUUCUAGUAACAAAUCAGGACCUGGCAUUUAAGUAGCUUUUUUGGUGUGUUCUAAGCUCUUCUUAGAUAAUUGUGUCAUAGCUCUCUUACUCGUGUCGAGCAUAACCUCAAUGCCCUUUGCAGUUAUGAUAAAGGGCACCUAGGAAUCAGCUACAGCCAGUUUUUGAGGUCUGUACAUAUUAGAUGCAUUGCAUGGUUACUGAUGCGUAUUUUAUUGUUUGAACUAAAUCAUCUUUUGGUACUAACAUGUGAUGUUCUUUGAACAAAAUCUCAUACUGACAAUUUUGUAUACCUUCACAUGCUAUCACGUGUAGAUUUUACCAGCUUAGCUUCUGGUUUAACAAGGAUUCUCUUUUGUUUGAAUUAAUUUUCCAGGCCCUGGAUACACUAGGGAAUACCGAAUGGAGGGUUUGCUCCCUCUGUGGUCUCAGGUUCGAGCCCUGUGGUUGCUCAUAUGAUAGCCACUGGAGGCUUACAUGAUCGUUAACUUCAGGGCCCGUAGGAUUAGUCGAGGUGCGCGCAAGCUGGCCCGGACACCCACGUUAAACUAAAAAAAAAAAAAAGAGGGUACUUAGUGUUGUUGAUAGAAUAUGGAGUAAUGGAGGCUGUCUUGCUGAUUUGGUAGACCACAGUGAUGUGAGUAUCUUUUCUAACUUUCCUCAAUGUAAUUCGUGUUUUUUUUAGAAACUCCUUUACCUUUGUGUUCCAAGAAUUGAUCAUGUAAACACAUCAUACAUGUAAAUAUGAAUACACAAUAUCCAUACCCUAACAAAAAUAUUAAUUUAGUAAUAGUUUUUUUUUAUAAGCCUAACAAAGUGUCGCUUUGGUAGGCAUGCUUUAAAAUAGAAUAUGAAUUUCGGAAGGUAUUUUUUUUAUUAAUUGAUAAACUUCUUUACUUUUCUCUUAGAUGCGCCAACAAUUUUUAUUAUUGAUAUUUACAACUAUAUAAACACAUAAAUACAUAAACAUUAAUAUAUAUAAUCAAUAUCAAUAUUUACACCAAAAUUGAACUUUCGUUUAUAAAUAACAAUGCACCAAGCCUAAAUGUAUUGAGUCUAAUGUUAGCCAGACCUAGACACGGUGGAUCUAGCACUAGCUAGACCCAAGAAAUGAUUAGAUCUAGCUACCGCCUGACCCAAAUCUUGUUAGGACUAGCACUAGUCAAAUUCAACCAUAAUUGAGCUUGGUAGUGUGUUAGACCAAGGCGCAUUGAGUCUGGCAUUGACCAGACCCAAAAGAUAAUUGAGUCUAACACCAUAAACACUCCUUUGUCAAAGGUUUGAGAUGGAAUAUUUGCAAUGGGAGAGGAAUUAGUGUUUGUGAUUGGAACAUUAAAAUUGGGUUGUUUGUAAGAGGAAUAUUAAAGCUUAAUUCAUAAUAAUGUUGAAGGAUAAAAUUAAAAAAAAAUACAAAUAAAAAAACCCUAGAUCAACUCGCUAAAUUCACAACACGAGUCAUAAAACUAAAAUAAUAUUAUAAAAAAAAAUCAACAAAUUAUAAAACUUAAUCUUUAAGAAGUAAAAUGUUGAAAGAUAAAAAAAGCAUGUAGAUUUUUUUAAAAAAAAAAUAUCAUUGCAAAUUUUAACUUGGUAAGAUUUUAUGUUAAUAGUAUUAUAUUAGAUGAGUCCAGCUCACCAUAAGCCUACAUGGAUGAAUAUGAGUUAAUGGUGAGUCGAGCUUGUAUAAUAAUUUAUGGGUAGCAAAAGUUGUGCCCAGUAUUUCUAUAAUACGACGAGGUUUAAUUUCUUUUUUUUUCAUGGUUAUCUCUCAGUGGAUAGCAGCAUCAAUCAUAAGAACUUCUAUAUUUAUAUCUAAUUUAAAUACUAAUUAAACGUGAUAAGAGUGGGAGUUAAAUAUAACGCUGCACAUCAAAUGCUCUUCAAAAAAAAAAAUCUACAUUGAAGCUUUUGAAAAGAAAUAUUAACAUUUAUCACCUUCUGCGUUCUAUUUGUUUAACUGAAUAUAGAGCCACCUUGUUACACUUUAUUAUUAUGAAUAAUAAAAUAACUCCAAACUGCAUUUAUUGGAAGCUUCUGCGAUGUGCCCAUCAAAUACGACUAUAGUGAAUCCCUGGAUAAGAGAUCGUUGCUUUCGACUUUCCGACCGCCGUUGCAUAGCUCAUCACAGCCAUCCCCACUUUCAAAAACAGCAGCAGCUCCCAUUCCUGUGCCUGCAUUUAAUUAGUGACAACAGUUAGCCAUAAGCAUACGUUUCCAGCAACACUCCACGCACCCAGAGAGAGAGGGAGAAGAAGAAUACCUAUGCACAUUGACACCACCCCGAAGCGACAGUCCAUGCCACGACGCUUCAUCUCAUGCAGUAAAGUAGCCACACAUCUAGCACCUGUAACAGUUGAUGAGGCAUGAAUUAGUCUCAGAAAAUGAUUAAACAAAUAACUGCUGCACCACAUAUUCAUGUGUAAAAUUAAAGAACAUAUAUUAAUGGAUUGAUAUCACAAAGAUCACCGUACACAACUCAAAAGUGAUGCUCUAUACAAGUCUUGAGCAGAUUUACAAGCACCAAAAACUGUUUCCACCACCGACACAACGCAAAACCCCUGAAUUUACCCAUGUUUGUGUCAAUUCAUUUCUGCACUUUUGACCAAAUUUUUCUUUUGCUUUUUUAUGCUGUCCCACUGAGCAGACCUUUUUUGUUCUUUUGUGUGAAAAAAAAACUAAAAAAACUAAUUAGAAAAUAAAAAAAAUAUUUAAAAUUCUAAAACCGAUUGAACUAGAUCUCAUAGACUAGUUAUUUUUAUUAUAUUCCCAUUUUUAUUUUUUAUUCUAUAGAUUUUUCUACAUUGAAGCUUUUGAAAAAUUUACAUUGAUCAUGCUUUUUUAUGUUGUUCCACUGAGAUGACCCUUUUUUUUUCUUUUAUGAAUUGAAAUUAUAUUACAUGUUUGUAAUUGUUUCAUCUCAUUUUUAUUUUUGAAAAGUAAACUUCCUUUAAUUAGAUUAUCCUUAAUAUUAAAUUAUCCCUUUGCUUUUUGCAGAGGUCUUAUCAAGCUGUUUGGUUUCUUGAUUUCAGUUGAAUUGAUUUUUAGUUUAUUUCACAUUAUAUUUUCAUGAAAUGAACAGGACAAUAAACUCUUUUAAUAAUCAUCUUGCCUUUAACUUUAAUUAGCUAUUUCAAAUAAAAAUUAUUAAUUUAAAUUUUACAAACUUUAUAAUUACUAAUAAUUUAUAUAAUUGUUAAUUUUAAAACUGUAUAAUUAAUCAUGAUAUAUGGAAACUGCUACAAUACUCAUGUUAAUAAUGAAAACAAAAUUACAAUCACAUCAGCAUGGUUGAAUUAUUCAUGGUUGCAUUCGCUUUCACCCCCUGACUAUGAACAGGAACCCCAAUUAAAUGAAAUGGUCCACAGCGUUUUCGGUCAACCAAGUCGGCUUCCACUUGCAGCACAAUUCAUCAAAAAACGAUGUGAAUUAUCAUUUGAUGUCGAACCAGGUGGACUAUCAGCUGCAGCCACAAUUAUUUGAUGCAUAGCAAAAUAAUUAUUCAGAAUCACAGUACCUUGGCAGUCCUUUCCAGCCAAAUUGAUGUGUUGUGUGCUAAUCCGACGAAAAUCAAGAUCCCAAAGAGGGUGAUGCCGCUGAUGUAGUAGUUGCAAUGCCGAGGAUAUCUAGAGAAAACUGUGAGUAACCCUGUCAAAUUUUUUUAUUUUUAUUUUACUCGAUCUCAUAAUUAAAUUUUUGUUGCAUAAUUUUUAAUUAAUAAACAUGUAAUUAUAAAUGAAGGAAAGAAAAAAUUGGAUGGACUUGUUUGUUUCAAUUUUAUUUUUUUGGUUUUAUCUUUUUUAUUUGUUUUUUAAAGCCUUUUUUAACUCAAUCAAUUCUUUAUUUUUUAUUAUUUUUUUAAGUAUAAAAGUAUAUUCCAAAGAAUAUUUUAAAGUAAUUGGGCAAAUAACAUUGUUAGCCACGGAGAGAUCAAUGGUAUGGACAAAAUAAUAGUAUAAUGAUUGGACUCAAAAACUUUCAAAGACAAAAUCAAUAGUAUACGAUCCCUCAAACUCAUUAACCCCUCACAACUCACUAACCCAAAUUCUCUUGUUUUUGGAUAAUUAAAAAGAAACCAUUUUUUAUGUUGUUUUGAAUUUUUUUUAUUUACUAUUUGAGAUUUUAUAAAAAAAAAUGGUUUGAUGACAGAGGAAUCCAUCAUGUUUGUAUUGAUGGUUGAAAUUGUGUUUGGGAUUUCAUUAAAUUUUUUAUAAUUGUUUUUUCUUAAAAAAAACAUUUUAUAUUUUGUUACCAGCAUGGAGCUGUGAAAAUGAAGGGUUGUAGUGGCGAGGAAUGUUUUUUGGAUUUAAUUUAAUGUUUUUUUUUAAUGUCAGUUAAUUAUAUAAUUUUCUUAAGAUCAAUCUUUUAAUAAAAAAUAUGUAGGAGCUAUAAAAUUGGUGGGACUUAUUCUUCUUAUUUUGAUUUUUUUUUUUUUGAAAACAUGUUUUUCUUUUCAGUGCUUACGAACUAGAUCAAAACAUGUAUUACUUUUUAUUGUAUGUAAAAUGUCCUUAUUUACUUUUAAACAUAGAUGCUUGACUUGAGAAUUCAUUACAAAACACGAAUCAACUCAAUUGUGAUGUGCGUGGCCCAACCCCUGCUCUUGACAGGAAGGUGCCUCUGAUGUCCUUAUUUACUUUUAAACAUAGAUGCUUGACUUGAGAAUUCAUUACAAAACACGAAUCAACUCAAUUGUGAUGUGCGUGGCCCAACCCCUGCUCUUGACAGGAAGGUGCCUCUGCUGCCCAACACGAAUCAAAUUUUUCUUUUGCUUUUUAUGUUGUCCCACUGAGAUGACUUUUUUUGCUCUUUUGUGUGAAUUGAAAUUAGAUUAGAUGUUUAUAAUUGUUUCAUCUCUUUUUUUUUUCUUUUUUUUUUGAAAGGUAAACUUCCUUUAAUUAGAUAGUAUUUUUUUUUUCUAUUUUGUUUUGCAGGCUUUAAUCUUUUUUUUUCUUUGAUUAUCCUUACUGUUAAUAUUAAAUUAUCCCUUUAUUUUUUUUGCAGCUGCCAAGAUAUUUGGUCCCGAUUUUUAAAUGUACCAAAUUGAAUCGGUUUGAUUCAAACUGGUUUUCAGUUUAUUUUGGAUCAUUUUCUCAAGAAAUUGUUGUUUCUGGUUGAUAUUUUUAGAUCUAAACUGUACCAAUCCAGACAAUGAACACCCCUAAUAAUCGUCUUUGCUUUAACUUCAACCAGCCAACUACCUCAAAUUUGCAAUCACAUCAGGCGCAUGGCGUUGCAUUCGCAUUCAUCCUAUUUUCUCCGAGACCUGUUGAAAACUUGCAGUUUGGUGGUGGCGGAUUCAGUGAGAUGGACCAGUGGUAUGAUCAGGAAGUAGUUUUAUCUUUUUUAUUUGUUGUUUAAAGUCUUUUUUAACUCUUAAUCAAUUCUUUAUUUUUUAUUAUUAUUUUAAAUAUAAAAGUAUAUUCCAAAGAAUAUUUUAAAGUUAUUGGGCAAAUAACAUUGUUAGCUAGCCACGGAGAGAUCAAAGGUAUGGACAAAAUAAUAGUAUAAUGAUUGCACUAAAAAACUUUCAAAGACAAGGGACCUCAUCAAAUCAAAUCAAUGGUAUACGAAUCCCUCAAACUCAUUAACACCUCAUAACCAAGAAAAUAAAAAUCGGUAACAUUAUUGAGUAACAGUAAUAAGUUGUAAAAGAAAUAAAGAGAGAGUUUGAUGUAUUAAGGAGUUUAAGAGUUAAAGUGUGUUUUUAGAGAUGAAAGAAUUGAGAUUAAAGGAAAGUAUGAAGGAGAGCUUGAUUGAAUUUGUUUUGGUUUUUGAUUCUUUAUUCUGUAAAUGUAAGAAAACUUUUUUCCAUAAUGAUUCAUUAUUUUGUUUUUUAUGUUUGUUCUUGAAUUGAGUAGAAGUGGUAUAAUGUAAAGUGAUUCAAGACCUGUUUGGAAAUUUGAUUUUUUUUUAAAUUAUUUAUAUAUAUAUUUUUAAAUUGUAUUGAUGUGUUUAUAUCAAAAUUAUUUUAAAAAAAUAAUAAAAAUAAUUAUUUUUAUAUAUUUUAAAAAAUAAUCACUACCAAAUUUUCAAGCAUUUAUAGUGAAAGGUUUGAGAUGAGAUAUUGGUAAUGAGAGAAAAAUAGGUGUUGGUGAUAAAAAUAUUAAAGUUUGAGAUUCUAAACUCAAUUCAAUAUGAUUUUGUUUUUCGUUAAUUAGUUUCAGUUAAUAGGGUGGUACGUGGCUAAGUUUAUUUAAAAAAAAAAUCAAUGGGAAUUUAUAGUAUUUAAUAUAAGAGUUUUAUAGUUAACAGUUUGAAAAUUCAUUAAAAAAUACUUUUCAAUUGUGAUGUGUGUGGCCCGGCCCUGCUCUUGACAGGAAGGUGCCUCUGCUGCCCAAUGCGCGUUCGAUAUCCCUUUCAUUUCUAUCUUCACUUUUUCUCCACCAAAAGAAAAUCCAGGAAACUUACCAAUACGAGUGAGUUCUUGACCUAAAGGAACCGGAAAAAAUUCGAAGUCAUUGGAAUAAAAAGAAAGAAAAGGGCUUUGGAGGUUGGUUACUAAGAUACCAGACGAAUAAACAAAUAUUGGGCUUGUCUAGAUCUUGUGCCUCUUUAGGCAACACUUAGCACACGGUUUGUUUCGUCUAGAUUCGAGUAAUACUUGGUAGAAAUUUGGUGUUUUCUGAUUUCUAAGUAGAAUUGUACAAAUUGCUAAGUGGUAGAUUUAAUUGCCAAAUUUCUUUUUUUUUUUUAGUUUAACGUGGGUGUUUAGGCCAGUUUUCGCGCACCUCGACUAAUCCCACGGGCCCUGAAGUUAACGACCAUGUAAGUUUCCAGUGGCCAUCAUAUGAGCAACCACAUAACUCGAACCUGAGACUAUAGAGAGAGCAAAUCUCUUAAUUUCAAACUCUUACCACUUGGUCAUCACCUAGAUAGUUAAUUACCAAAUUUCUUGAUCUUACCUUCUGUUUCACGGGCCCUGCAAUUCAUAUUUUUUUUUACUUGGUAAUUAAGUAUGAGAAAGAGUUAAAUUUUUUUUUUAAAAAGAGGUGUGCCUUAAGUGUGAUUUUACUUUUGAUUUUCUUUGAAUUUAUUCUUGACCUACAUGGAAAGAAAACAAUAUAAAAGUAUUAUUUUGUAAAAUAAAAAACAAAGCCACUAAUUUACCCUAAUAUAAAUCCUGCAGUCAAUUAAAAACAAAAAUAAAAACACAAAUUGUGAGCAAAAUUUUUCUACAAAAAAAUUGAAGUAAAGCCACCAAUUAAUUUAUCUUUCAUCAAACAAAAUAAGGAAACUUAAAUUUAAAAUUUAUUUUAAUUUUAUUUUGAGAUGUUUGUUAAUAAUUUGAUGAAAUUUUUUUAUAUAAUUCUAUCAUUUUUGCUUUUUUUUUUCUCAGAUUUGCUAAUUCUACCAAUUGUUUUUUAAAUUCUUGUUAUAGUGAUUUUUUUUUCUAAUUAAUUAUAUAUAUUUUAUUGGUUUGUUUUGAUUAUGUUUGGAUUUUUUUAUGUUGUUUUUAGCAGAGCCACUAAAAUUAUCAAUUUUUUCUUAUGAUAUAUGUUUUGAUUUUAGGUUGAACCAUAAACAAAAUAAGAAGAAUUGAUAUGAUAAUCGAUGAUUUUUAUUUUAUGAAAGAACGAUGAGUACAAUUAAAAUAAAUAUGUAAAAAUCAUUCUUUAUUAUUAUUUUUAUUUAUUUUAAAGUUUAUCAAACAUAAAUAAUGCUUCGUUUUAUUUAUGAUGUGUGAUGUGUAUGAUGGUUUGGGAAAGCGGUUUCAGACCCGUUUGGAAAUUUAAUUUUUUUAUAUUUUUAAAUUAUUUUGAUAUAUUUAUAUCAAAAUUAUUUAAAAAUAAUAAUAAUAAAAUUAUUUUAAUAUAUUUUUUAAAAAAUUCUUUUAAAAAAUAACAACUAUUAUAUUUUUAAGCACCCUAGCCCUUAGUAAAAGGUUUGAGAUGAGAUAUUGGUAAUGAGAGAAGAAUUGGUGUUUGCGAUCGGGGAGGAAUUAAAGUUGGGCUGUUUGUGAUAAAAAUAUUGAAGUUGGAGAUUCUAAAAUCAAUUUAAUAUGAUUUUUUUUUUCGUUAAUUAGUUCCAGUUAAUAGGGUGGUGGCUAAGUUUAUUUUUUUAAAAAAAAAAUCAAUGGGAAUUUAUAAUAUUUAAUAUAAGAGUUUUAUAGUUAUUAGUUUAAAAAUUCAUUAUAAAAUACUUUUCAAUUGUGAUGUGCGUGGCCCCACCCCUGCUCUUGACAGGAAGGUGCCUCUGCUGCCCAAUGCGCGUUCGAUAUCCCUUUCAUUUCUCUUUUCGCUUUUUCUCCACCGAAACUCCAUCUUCUUUACAGUGUAAACUUACCAGUACGACUUCUUGACCUCAAGGAACCGGAAAAAAAUUCGACGUCAUUGGGCUUGGCUAGAUCUUGUGCCUCUUUAGCCAACACUUACCACACGGUUUGUUUCGUCUAGAUUCGUGAAAUACUCGUAGAAAUUUGGUGUUUUCUGAUUUCUAAGUAGAGUUGUACAUGUUCCAGCUUGAAAUUAGUAAUUGGUAGAUUUAAUUGCCAAAUUUCUUGAUCUUACCUUCUGUUUCAUGUUUGACCACAGGAGCAGGCCUUACACAAAAUAGCGUGGACAGCAAUUGCUGAACCAAGCGAGCUAGUUGAGGCCAGAAGGGAUCGGUACUAGUUUAUCGCUAUAGGGAUUUUCAUGGCUUCCAGCAGCGUGCAAGGAAUAACCUCAUCUUCAUCUUCUCCUCCUCCACUAUAUAUGCAUGAUGUGUUCCUUAGUUUUAGAGGCAAAGACACCCGGAACAACUUUACUAGUCAUCUAUAUUCUAAUCUGACACAAAGAGGCAUCGAUGUGUACAUGGAUGAUAGGAAGCUCGAGAGAGGAAAGACCAUCGAACCUGCUCUUUGGAAGGCCAUCGAAGAAUCAAGGUUUUCAGUCAUUAUAUUUUCAAGAGAUUACGCUUCUUCACCAUGGUGCUUGGAUGAACUUGUCAAGAUUGUUCAGUGCAUGAAAGAGAUGGGGCAAACUGUUCUGCCAGUUUUUUAUGAUGUGGAUCCCUCAGAGUUUUAUGAUGUGGAUCCCUCAGAGGUAAUCGAGCGGAAACGGAAAUAUGAGGAAGCCUUCGUUGAGCAUGAACAAAAUUUCAAGGAAAACUUGGAGAAGGUCCGGAACUGGAAAGAUUGUCUCUCUACAGUGGCCAAUUUAUCUGGCUGGGACAUACGGAAUAGGUAAAUCAUCUAUCUACUUAUUCUUAUUCUCAAAUCUGCCAUGUAUUGUUUCAAUGAUGAACAAGCAUGAUAGUAAAUGUGUACUUUUUUCAUAUGCAUGAUUUUUUAUUUUUAUUUUUUUAUGACAUUUUGAACUGAUGUGAUCAAGCAUUUCUAAUCUUUAUAUAAAACUGCUUUCUAUUCUUAGGUUUUUCUUUAUAUUUUGAAAAUAAAAUAAAAUAUUAAACAGAAAAAUUAAAAUGUAUAAAAAUGUUGAAAAACAAAUCUAGCAUGAACAAAUAAAAAGUUAGCUUAAAAAAUUAAAAAUGGUGAAGAAAUGACAAUAAAUUCAUCAUAAGAAAUAAAAAAUUGACCAAAGUUUUUGAAUAUGUUGGUUUUAGCUUUUCAAAAUAAAAUAAAAAGAUUUUCCAUCUUGAAUUAAAAAAUUCAAACUAUUUAUAAAUCAAAGAGACAAAUUUAUUUAUAAUUUGUUUUGUGAAUAUUUUUAUUUUUUUAUUUGGAAUUAAAAUUUGAUAGUUGUCUUUCUUUUACUAAUGGAUUGUAAUAAUGAAUUUACUAAUUUUUCAUUCUAAAAACAAUACACUACUUAUUAGGGAUAAUAGGGUAAGUUGAAAACAAUACACUGCUUUUUUUUUUUUUGUCUUUUUUUUAUGAUAAAAAAAAAAGAAGAAAAGUGGUUGGCUUGUUUGUAGAACACACAAGCAAGUAAGUUGUUCUAUCUUAUUUAAGGAGCACGAGAAAUGGCUUAUGACACCCAAAAAAAACCUUCAUUGAUGUUUUAUGAUUCACCACGACAUGACCUUCUUCCCUGAGUGACAUGACCUUCCUCCCUGAGUGACAUUUGUGGAGUAAUUCUUUUUGGUCUAGCACCAAAUGACUUUUUUUUUUUUUCUUUUAUCUUUAUCCUCGAAUUCCGCACCCGACCUUCUAAACUUGUAUAGUAACCCUUCAAUCAGGUUUUUUUUUUAUAUUUGGUCUAUUUCCUUUCAAUUGAUAUUUUUUUAUUUGAAUUAUUUUUUAAAAUUGAAAUUUGUUGUUAAUUUUAUACUUUUUAAUUUUUUAAUCUAUUAGAUUUAAUUCUCAUUCUUUUGAUUACUAUUUAUUUUAUGUGAGAUUAUUUUUAUUUUAUUUUUUUAUUGAUUUCAUCCUUCAUUUUUUAUUGUUAUGUUUUUUUACCUUGGCAAGUUUUUAAAAAAUUGAUAUAUAUAUAUAUAUAUAUAUAUAUUAUUUCUAAUUUCAUAUUUUAAUAUUAAAUUAAGCUUUUUGGUUGAGUCUGGAUUUAGAAUUUAACGGAUUGAGAAUUUGGGACACUAACCUAGGUUUAAGAGAUUUGUCUAGGUUUGUUUUUUUUUUUAACUCAUGUUUUUUUUUUUUGUAGUUUCAUCAUUCAAUAUUUAAUUUAAUUAAAGACGACUGAGCUCUAUUAAUUUUUUUAUUUGCUUUCUAUAAGAUUUUUAAAUAAUUUUAAAAAUAAUCGGGGUUAUUUUAAGUCUUUUUAUUUCUCAUUCUUUGUUAAAUCUAGCUGCUAUUUUUUAAAAAAUUCUUUUUUUUAAUUGAAUAAUUUUUUAUGUUUAGCUUUUAAUAUUUGGUUGAUUGAAAUCGGGCGCUAUUUUAUUUUGAUAUGGGUUCCAUGGAGUUUUCACGGAUUCGUGCUUCGGAUAGCAAGUUUCACAUGUUUACCAUAAUUAUUCCAUAUCGAUCUAGUGUGUUGUCAUCACAAUUAUAUUUUUAAAUAAAUAUAUCAUCAGAUAUAUUAAUUUCACAAGAUGAAGAAAUGGGUUGUGAAAAUUUAAGUUCAGCAUCUCAAGGUGCAUGGAUUCAAUUUGCGCAACCUUAGGGAAAUUUUCUUCAGGCUAUGCUAAUAUGGGAAAAAACUCAAAAAUUAAUAAAUUUAAAGUUGUUUUUUUAAAGUUAAUUAUGCAAGAUAAUUGAUUUUUUUGUUAAAAAUAAUUAUAAAAAUAACUUAGUGGUCCAACAAAAAUAUGAUAGAACUCCUUUUGCGUCUAUUAAAACCAAACUUAAUGGAUAUUUUAUUUCCUAGCUUUUGUUCUUGUAUGCAUGCUUCUGUAGUAACUAUGGGAUUCUAUAGGCAAUAAGAUAGCUAUUGUACGAAUCAUUCUUAGCAUCAAUACAAUCCUAGUUCCUUUUUCAGUUUAUUCUUUCCUUUUCCUCUAUGUUCUUGAAGCUAUCUAUUAUCAGUGCCCUAUUUUUCUCAAAGGUUGGUGUAUUAAUUUCCGGCUAACAGCCAUACAUUUUCGAGCUACAAUAUGCUAAUGUCUAUUUUCCCAUUAUCACUAUCUGAUUUGAUUUCUGCACACUGCAUGAUUAAUGUUUUGCACCCUUCUAUGCAGGAAUGAAUCGGAAUCAAUUAAAAUAAUUGUUGAAUACAUAUCGUACAAACUAAGCGUCACUCUGCCAACAAUUAGCAAAAAAUUAGUUGGAAUAGAUUCUCGUGUAAAGGAAUUAAAUGGCUAUAUAGGUGAAGAAGUAGGCAAAGCAAUCUUCAUAGGGAUUUGCGGAAUGGGUGGCAUAGGUAAGACGACUGUUGCAAGGGUACUAUAUGAUAAGAUUCGUUGGCAAUUUGAAGGCAGCUGCUUCUUAGCAAAUGUCAGGGAAGUUUUUGCUGAGAAAGGUGGACCACGCCGUUUACAGGAACAACUUCUUUCUGAAAUCUUAAUGGAACGUGCUCCUGUAUGUGAUUCUUAUAGAGGGAUUGAGAUGAUAAAGCGGAGGUUACGACUUAAAAAGAUUCUUCUUAUCCUUGAUGAUGUAAAUGACCGUAAACAACUAGAAUACCUGGCUAAGGAGCCUGGAUGGUUUGGUCCAGGGAGCAGAAUUAUCAUAACAAGCAGAGAUACAAAUGUGUUAACUGGAAAUGAUGAUACUAAAAUUUACGAGGCUGAGAAAUUGAAUGAUGAUGAUGCUCUUAUGUUAUUUAGCCAGAAAGCUUUCAAAAAUGACCAGCCUGCUGAAGGUUUUGUGGAACUAUCCAAGCAAGUUGUGGAUUAUGCUAAUGGUCUUCCACUAGCUCAUGAAGUUAUAGGUUCGUUUUUGUAUGAAAGAAGUAUCCCUGAAUGGAGAGGUGCAAUUAAUAGAAUGAAUGAGAUUCCUGACGGCAAAAUUAUUGAUGUGCUUCGCGUUAGUUUUGAUGGCCUCCAUGAAUCAGAUAAGAAAAUAUUUUUAGACAUUGCAUGUUUCCUGAAGGGGUUUAAAAAAGAUCGAAUAACAAGGAUACUUGAAAGCCGAGGAUUCCAUGCAGGUAUUGGAAUACCAGUUCUUAUUGAGAGAUCUCUUAUAAGUGUCUCUCGGGAUCAAGUCUGGAUGCAUGAUUUGUUACAGAUAAUGGGUAAGGAAAUUGUUCGUUGUGAAUCCCCUGAAGAGCCUGGAAGGCGCAGUAGAUUGUGGACAUACGAGGAUGUCUGCCUUGCACUGAUGGACAACACAGUGAGUACUACUGAUAGAGAACGUUAUCCAUAAGAUUUCAUAAAGUGUAUUUUAAAGUAUAUCUCUACUUUGUAAUUGUUUUUUACUUGUAUUCCCUUUUGGUUGACAGGGAAAAGAAAAAAUAGAAGCCAUAUUUUUGGACAUGCCUGGAAUUAAAGAGGCACAGUGGAACAUGAAAGCCUUCUCUAAAAUGAGCAGACUAAGAUUGCUCAAAAUCAACAACUUGCAGCUUUCUAAAGGACCUGAAGAUCUUUCCAAUCAGUUACGAUUUCUUGAAUGGCAUUCUUACCCUUCAAAAUCAUUGCCAGCUGGUUUACAGGUGGAUGAGCUAGUUGAACUUCACAUGGCUAACAGUAGUAUUGAACAAUUAUGGUAUGGGUGUAAGGUGAGAUCACCUAAUUUAAGGCCCUUUGUAUUUCUUUUUAUCGUUUUCCUAUAUAUAUAUAUGAUUGGCUAACAGUAUCCAUGUUUCUUCUCCCCUGCCUGAUUGCAGAGUGCAGUUAAUUUGAAAAUCAUCAAUCUCAGCAACUCAAUAAACCUGUCCAAGACUCCAGAUCUUACUGGAAUUCCAAAUCUUGAGAGUCUGAUUCUUGAAGGUUGUACAAGUUUGUCUGAGGUCCAUCCAUCACUUGGAUGUCACAAGAAGCUUCAAUAUGUGAAUCUUGUGAACUGCAAAAGUAUUAGGAUUCUCCCAAACAAUCUAGAAAUGGAAUCACUUAAAGUUUUCACUCUUGAUGGCUGCUCAAAACUUGAGAAGUUCCCAGAUAUAGUAGGAAACAUGAACAAAUUGAUGGUACUUCGUUUGGAUGAGACUGGUAUUACAAAACUAUCUUCAUCGAUUCAUCAUUUGAUUGGCUUAGGUCUAUUGAGCAUGAACAGCUGCAAGAACCUUGAAAGCAUUCCAAGUAGCAUAGGUUGUUUGAAAUCCCUUAAAAAACUCGAUCUGUCUGGCUGCUCUGAACUUAAAUAUUUAACAGAGAAUUUGGGGAAAGUUGAAAGUUUGGAGGAGUUUGAUGUAAGUGGAACUUUAAUAAGACAACUGCCAGCAUCCGUUUUUCUUUUAAAGAAUCUUAAAGUAUUAUCUUUGGAUGGAUGCAAAAGAAUAGCUGUGCUGCCUUCUUUGUCUGGUCUGUGUUCUUUAGAAGUACUGGGUUUACGUGCUUGCAAUCUAAGAGAAGGAGCACUUCUUGAAGAUAUUGGCUGCUUAUCUUCAUUGAGGUCUUUAGAUCUGAGCCAGAAUAACUUUGUUAGCCUGCCUAAAAGCAUAAAUAAGCUUUCUGAACUGGAAAUGCUUGUCUUGGAGGGUUGCACGAUGCUUCAAUCUUUGCUUGAGGUUCCAUCUAAAGUUCAAAUAGUAAAUUUGAAUGGUUGUAUAAGCCUAAAAACAAUUCCAGAUCCGAUAACGCUAAGCAGUUCCAAAAGAUCAGAGUUCAUAUGUCUUAACUGCUGGGAAUUGUACUAUCAUAAUGGCCAAGACAACAUGGGGUUGAUGAUGCUUGAAAGAUACCUCCAGGUCUUCUCUUAAUCAAACCCCAACCUUUUUCUAUCUCUCUCACUCUCCCUCUAUCUGUCUAACGUUUUGGUUCUUUAUGGUACAGGGUUUGUCUAAUCCAAGACCUGGAUUUGGUAUCGUUGUUCCAGGAAAUGAAAUUCCAGGGUGGUUUAACCAUCAAAGUAAGGGAUCUUCAAUUAGUGUGCAAGUGCCUAGUUGGAGCAUCGGGUUUGUUGCCUGUGUUGCAUUCUGUGCAAAUGGUGAAAGGCCUUCUGUUUUUUGUGAUUUCAAAGCCAAUGGAAGAGAGAAUUUUCCUUCGCCGAUGUGUAUUAGUUGUAACUCUAUCCAGGUUCUGUCAGAUCAUAUUUGGCUAUUCUAUCUAUCUUUUGAUCAUCUUAAAGAGCUUAAAGAAUGGAAGCAUGAAUCCUUUAGCAACAUUGAGUUGUCAUUUCAUUCUCUCGAGCAACGAGUAAAGGUGAAGAACUGUGGUGUCUGUUUUUUAUCUUCUCUAUAUAUUACAUCACAACCAUCUGCCCAUUUUAUUGUUACAAGCAAAGAAACAGCUUCUUCAUAUAAAGCUUCUUUAGCUCUUUCUUCAUCUUACCAUCAAUGGAAGGCCAGUGUUUUCCCUGGCAUCAGAGUCGCAGAUCGGGCCCAGAGAUUCAUUGUCCCAGUCGGGAAGGAACCAGGGAAAGUAAUGGCAAUUAGAUCAAGACUCUUUGAAGCCAUUGAAGAAUCAGGGCUGUCAAUUGUUAUAUUUGUAGGAGAUUGUGCUUCUUUACCUUGGUGCUUUGAAGAACUUGUCAAGAUUGUCGGAUUCAUGGAUGAGAUGAGAUCGGACACUGUUUUUCCAGUUUCUUAUGAUGUCGAACAAUCAGAGAUGGAUGAUCAAACAAAGAGUUACACAAUUGUCUUCGAUAAGAGUGAAGAAAAUUUCAGGGAAAACGAGGAGAAGGUGCCAAGGUGGAUGAAUAUUCUCAGUGCAGUUGAGAUUUCAUCUGUAACGAGAUCAUUGAAAAGGUAAUAAUUACUUCUUUUUUGUGCCAAGGUAUUACUACAAGUAAAUGAAACUGGGAAUGCUGAAAUAUGUUAAUAAAUCUAAUCUAUUUUUUAUGACAAUUAGGAAAUGUAUUCUUGAAAGUUAUGAAUUGUUAAAUACUUACAUGAGUUUUAAAUUAUAUAGUAAAUUAUUCGUUUAAUAAUUGAAAAUUUUAAACUUUAUAGCAUUUGAAUUUUAAAAUAACAAUAAUUGAUUCCAUGUAUAGUUUAAUGGGAAAAAGAAUGUUUAGUUUUCACGUCAUUUUUAUCUAAUCUAUUUUUUUAUGAUAAUUUUACCUGAACCGAAAGAUAGAACACAACACUUCUGACUUCUCCUUCUCACUCUUAGCAGCAUAGGAGCUCCAGCAACGCAGCAGCAGCAGCAGAUCCAGAUCUACCUCCACCAGCAGCAGAUCCAGCUCUACCUCCACCAGCAGCAGAUCCAGCUCUACCUCCACCAGCAGCAGCAGCGAAUCCAGCAUCUCCAGCUGCUCGAGCGGCGGCAGGGUUGGCUCCAACUGCUCGAGGAUCGGCUCCAGCUGCUCGAGGAACGGCUGCGGCAGCCCCAGCUGCUCGAGGAGCGGCGGCUGCAGCGCCAGCUGCUCAAGCAGUGGCUGCAGCGCCAGCUGCUCGAGCGGCGAGGGGAGCUCGAGCGGCGGGGGGAGCUCGAGUGGCGGGUGCUGGAGUGGGAGCGGCGGCAGCGGGAGCAGCGGGAGCAGCGGGAGCAGCGGAAGCAGCGGGGGCUGCUGGAGCAGCGGAAGCAGCGGGGGCUGCUGGAGCAGCGGCUGCUGGAGCAGCGGCUGCUGGAGCUGGAGCAGCGGCUGCUGGAGCGGGAGCUGGAGCGGGAGCGGGAGCGGGAGCAGCGGCUGCUGGAGCUGGAGGGGCGGCUGCAUGAGUGGCGGCUGCAUGAGUGGCAGCUGCUGGAGCGGGAGUUGGAGCAGCUGCGGGAGCAGCUGCGGGAGCGGCCGGAGCGGCCGGAGCGGCAGCUGGAGCGGGAGCAGCGGCUGCUGGAGCUGGAGGGGCGGCUGCAUGAGCGGCGGCUGCUGGAGCGGGAGUUGGAGCAGCUGCGGGAGCGGCCGGAGCGGCUGGAGCGGGAGCAGCGGCUGCUGGAGCAGCGGCUGCUGGAGCGGGAGCGGCGGCUGCUGGAGCGGGAGCAGCUGGAGCAGCGGCUGCUGGAGCAGCGGCAGCUGGAGCUGCAGCAGCUGCUUGAGCAGCAGCAUGAGUUUUGGUUACGAAUCUAACUUGCUUUAGCUUGAAGAUCUUCGUCAGUUUUCCAUGGAUCUAAUUUCUUAUUAGCUCUUGAUUUUUUUUCCUUGUUAAUUACCAUCAAAGUACAGUGAGCAGUGAUUGCAAGACAUCAUAUGAUCUUCCUUGUUGUUUGCAUGUUCAUCAAAGCAGCCAACACGAGGGAAAAAACAUAGCAAUGAUUUUCAUCAUGAUAGGACAGGGCCUUGUUUUUGCACAUGGUUUUGGUUUGGGGUAAUUAGAUUUACAUUUUGCAAUCAUAAGAUUGAUAUUUUUUUUUUAAAAGUUUUAUUAUUUAAUAUUUAAUUUAAUUAGAGAUUGAGUUUUAUUAAUUUUUUAUUUUUUGAUUUUUAUAAAAAUUUUAAAUAAUUUUAAAAAUAUUUUUUUUAGUUUUAUUAUUUAAUAUUUAAUUUAAUUAGAGAUUGAGCGUUAUUAAUUUUUUUUAUUUGUUAUUUAUAAAUUUUUUAAAUAAUUUUAAAAAUAACAGGGGUUAUUUUAAGUCUUUUUAUUUCUCAUUCUCUGUUAAAUUUAGCUACUAUUUUUUUAAGAAAUUAUUUUUUAAUUAAAUAAAAUUUUUUAUUUUUGACUUUUAAUAUUUGAUUGAUUGAAAUUGGAUUCUUUAUUUUAUUUAGAUAUGGGUUUCUUGGGGUUUUUUCAGAUUGUGAGUCUCACAUGUUAAUCAUAGUUUUUUUUUAUAGAGCAGAAUUAUCAUAACUAGCAGAGAUAAAAAAAGUGGUAACUGGAAAUUAAUAAUACUAAUAGAAUUUAUGAUGAUGAGAAAUUGAAUGAUGAUGAUGCUUUUAUGUUGUUUAGCCAGAAAGUUUUCAAAAAUGACCAGCCUGCUAAAGAUUUCGUGGAACUAUCCAAGCAAGUUGUGGGUUAUGUUAAUGGCCUUCCACUGGCUCUUGAAGUUAUAGAUUCGUUUUUGUAUUAAAAAAGUAUCCCUGAAUGAAGAGGUGAGCUUAAUAGAAUGAAUGAGAUUCCUGAUGGCAAAAUUAUUGAUGUGCUUUGCAUUAGUUUUGAUGGUCUCCGUGAAUCAGAUAAGAAUAUAUUUUUAGACAUUGCCUGUUUCCUGAAGGGGUUUAAAAAAGAUCGAAUAACAAGAAUACUUGAAAGCCGAGGAUUCCAUGCAGGUAUUGGAUUACCAAUUCUUAUUGAGAGAUCUCUCAUAAGCAUCUCUCGGGAUCAAGUCUGGAUGCAUAAUUUAUUACAGAUAAUGGGUAAGGAAAUUGUUCGUUGUGAAUCCCCUGAAGAGCCUGGAAGGCGUAGUAGAUUGUGGACAUACGAGGAUGUCUGCCUUGCACUAAUGAACAACACAGUGAGUAGUUGAUAGAGAACAUUAUCUAUUAGAUUUCAUAAAGUUUAUUUUAAUUUACACUCCAUCUCUACAAAUCUUUACUUUGUGAUUGUUUUUUACUUGUAUUCCCUUUUGGUUGACAUGGAAAAGAAAAAAUAGAAGCCAUAUUCUUGGACAUGCCUGGAAUAAAAGACGCACAAUGGAACAUGGAAGCCUUCUCUAAAAUGAGCAAACUAAGAUUGCUCAAAAUCGACAACGUGCAGCUUUCUGAAGGUCCUGAAGAUCUUUCCAAUAAGUUACGAUUUUGUAUUCCUUCAAAAUUUUCAGGAAUAUAAAUAUGCAUCAAUAAAAACCUGUCAGGUCUGACGCUAGCUAGAUCUAGGUAUAUUGGGCUCGACAAUCUGUCAAGUCCCGGACAUGCUGGGUCUGACAGUGUGGAAUGGCUUUCAUUUCUUGAGCAUGCCCAAGAGAAUGAUCAUUGGGUCUAACUUAUGGGAAUAACUCAAUCUCUACGAGCAUUAACUACAUUUGAUGUCCUAAACUCUAAUUUCCUUACAUCUUUUAGGUGUAUAAAAGUCUUCCAAGAACUCAUCAUAUUUCCAUCAAAUAUUAAUAUAGAUGUAAGAUAUAUUUAUCCUUUAUUAAAUGCUAUCGAGUCUCUUUAUAGAAGAACAAGACUCAUAUGCUAUAAAUACACAAUAAGACAUUCAGAACAGAGGUUCACAAUCUUUAUUUUCUACUACAUAUAUAAUUUCAGAGUAUUUUUUUCUAGAAUAUUUUUAUAUUUUUUUUUUAUAAAAAAAACAUACUUAUUUAAACAUCAGAUUUCAUCAUAAAUAUGUUCAUAGCAAAAAAUGAAAAAGAAAAAAAAAGCUGAUUCAGCAAAGCAAAUUAUUAAGGGUCUGUAUUUGCUUUCAUUAACUAAAAUAGCCAGAGAAACACAAUCCAUAUAUACAUGCCUGGAAUAAAAGAGGCACAAUGGAACAUGAAAGCCUUCUCUAAAAUGAGCAAACUAAGAUUGCUCAAAAUCGACAACGUGCAUCUUUCUGAAGGACCUGAAGAUCUUUCCAAUAAGCUACGAUUUCUUGAAUGGCAUUCUUACCCUUCAAAAUCAUUGCCAGCUGGUUUACAGGUGGAUGAGCUAGUUGAACUUCACAUGGCUA